RNAcentral lists this long non-coding RNA (769 nucleotides) under Betta splendens (Siamese fighting fish). RNAcentral describes it as "lncRNA (ENSBSLG00000011158.1)". The record is from RNAcentral. Lineage: Eukaryota; Metazoa; Chordata; Actinopteri; Anabantiformes; Osphronemidae.
UCGAUCGCUACAAUAAGAAACUGCAGAUGAAAGCAGUUAUGUUUGUUAUUACCCGUCCUGUGUCACAGCCUAAAUCAACUUAUAAUUUGGGGUUAUUUCAUUGUUCUACAAAUUCAAACAUGAUUAGUUGGAAUGAUUACUGUGUUGUGUUGCAAGCUUAGUUGCUAGUCACAUCUCUACAAUAACUGCUGCUUAUCUGGUCAGUUACCUAUAGCUUGUAUCAUAGCCAUUAUUUUUGUAGGACCAAUACAAUUUACAGUAAAUUUAACAUUGUCUUUUCUAUACUGUAGGGGGACACAUCCCAGUUACCCACAUGCAAGGAGGCUGUCAAACGGAGAAAUCACUGCAGACUGUUGGUACACAGACAUCUGCUACCCAGCUCAGGAGUGAAGGUGAUGGUGAGGACAGCCACAGCUUCCAUCUGGUAGAGGACUGCUUCCGCUCAGUCUUCCAAAUAGUGAUGAGAACAAGGAUCACCACAUCUCCCUGGUCAUCUAUUUACAACUAACCUGUUCUGCUGCAGAAACAAAUCUCCAACAUAACAAAGUGUACCCCCUGCACAGGACAUGGACUGUUUACCCUACUUCCAUGCAUUUCGUCUGCAAGGCCCUGCAAAAGCUUCUGUCUUUAAACCCCCAGACUUCUUAAUUAACUCAGUAAGCUAUACAUUGCACACUGGAGUGUGAAGGUAACAGUUUGUUCUAGCUUUGGAGUAAUGGUGCAUUUUUUUGGUUGACAAUAAAGUUGGCUUUAACUAUUACGUAUUUCA